This 245-nucleotide ribosomal RNA is filed under the name uncultured bacterium. Its description in RNAcentral is "partial 16S ribosomal RNA". It matches the Rfam family "Bacterial small subunit ribosomal RNA", at positions 524 to 768 of the family's 1533-position model. The record is from RNAcentral.
UACGGAGGGGGCGAGCGUUAUUCGGAAUUAUUGGGCGUAAAGGGCGCGUAGGCGGCUGUACAAGUCAAAGGUGAAAUCCCUCGGCUCAACUGAGGAACUGCCUUUGAAACUGUACGGCUUGAGGCCGGGAGGGGGUAGCGGAAUUCCCAGUGUAGCGGUGAAAUGCGUAGAUAUUGGGAGGAACACCAGUGGCGAAGGCGGCUACCUGGACCGGUUCUGACGCUGAUGCGCGAAAGCGUGGGUAG